GGUCCUGACCAGACCGCUGGCAGUGAGGACGGAGGAAAGUGGACGGUGUGUGAGGAAUGAGGCUGUGGAAGAGAGAGAAAUGGAUGCUUGGUUAGAGGCAGGGUGAAGAGGAAGAAUGGCGAAUGGCGAAGGGCUCACAGAUUUCUUGAUAGACCAAGAUAGGAAACACGGGGAGGGAGGGCUGGCAGGCAGGCAAGGAGUCCCGUUUGGAUUUGUUGAGUUAAGAUAUCUGGAGAUAUCUAGGAGAAGAUACACAAUUCUCAGCUGGAGCUCAGAGACAUAAGCCAGUGAGUUCAGUCAUCACCAAAUGGUGUAUGAUGUGGGGGACACAAGAUUGCUCCAUUUGCUAGCAUGAGAACCCCAUCUUUUAAAGGCUGACAGAACAAGAAGGUUCAAAAGAUUCUGAGAUGGAGAGAGUGCAACAUGAGACAAGACAAAAGUGACGGAACCAGGAAGAAAGUCAACGUUAGCAGAUGGGAGAAGAAAGAUGAGUCAGCACAAGAAACUAGGAAGGAGUGGCCAGAGAGAUUAGCAGGAAACCAAGAGCGAGUGACGGUAACCAAAAUCCAGGAAACAGAGCACUUAACCAGAAGGGUGGUUCUGAGACUUGAGAACAAUCAGGAAGAAUCGGGACUGAGGAUUGUCAUCAGUUUCUUCGUCUGUAUAACGGGAUGAACGUCAGAACCAGCCCACGGGGCCGCCGCCAGGAGUAAUCCAGAUAAUACAAGCGAAAGUCUAGAACUGAGCUGGAAAUGCUAGGUGAAUACAGAAAGCUGCACCCAGUGGAAGUAAGCACAAAGGAAUAUACACAACGCACACACCCACACGCCUCCACCACCCGCCGGCCACCUCCACUCACGAAGUGUAGGAGCCAUCCCAUACACAUCUGCUGACACGCUUUCCUUCCGACGCCAGAUGACACUGUUUCCACCUCUUCAGAAUGACUCACCAGCUACAGUCCUUCGGAGCACGCUGCCACAAGCAAACCUCAGGUCUUUUUCCAGGUAAAGUGCCAUGUUCAAAGUAGUUUUGAUGUAUUUCUUAACCACUUAACCUGGGAAAAACCAUGCUGGCAUUUUUCCUAGGUUCCUGUCUUUUUUUCAUGUGUCACUGAGGCAGGUUUUGAGUGAGUGUCCCAACCCCAUCUGCCUGGGAAGCCCUGUGAUUUUCCUUACGUGAUUUUGCACAGCGCAGCGAUCUUCAGGCAUAUGUCAAUUACAGCAGAACUGACCAUUUGAUCGCCACUAAGUUUUGUAGACUCUCAAAAUAUUUUGAUUCUGUUAUCCCUAAAUAUUUGAUGCAUCUCAUCAUCAUGUUAUGCAUGAAUUUGGUGAGAAUUUUACACUAAAUAUCUGAAUAUCAGCAAGGGGAGAGGCUAUGUUCUGGAGGAUAGCCUUACAAAGAUGAAAAAGGCAUUUCCUGCAGGAUAAAGUGAACUCAGGAUAAUAAUGAAGCUUUAAUAACGUUAUCAGUUUAAUAAGCUAUUUUCCAAUUUAGCUUCAGGAAGAAAACCUUUUUUCCUGCUUACUGAAAUCCUUAAGAGCUGCAGGGCGGGGGACUUUGGAUGGCACAUAAGAAUCGUGUUGUCCAAUCUCUUUGCUUUCGAGGUGAGUCAGCAUGGCUCUGGGAAAUGAAUGUCUUGCCAAGGUCGCCCCACUCACUGUUAGUGACCGAGCCAAGUUUCCCGGCUCCCAGUUCACGGCUGUGCUUACAACCCCAGGCUGCCUCCCGCUUACAUGUUGUACAACUUUAUAUCCUUGUAAUAACACUACAGUUUAUCCAAAACCAGACCUGCCCGUUACCACAGGAUGGUUUUGUAGGCAGCUUUUGAGACUGGUAAGGGAGCAGGAGUGGUGAGAGCCUUCGAAAGCUGCCAGGCACCAUGAUGCAGCUAUGUGGGCAGCCGGGCCCCCGCCCACACCAUCCCCCAAGCCAGCUGCCCGGAGAGGGGCUUUCUGCCAGCAGAGCAAACCCAUGAAAUGAGGACAAACCUGGCUCCUUCAAGCGAGUUUCUUUCUUCCCAAUUUCCUCCCCUGUAAAAUGGAGAAAAUGACUUCGUAGGGGUUUUGAAGUCCAAAAGACUCUUCAUUUUUUAGGUGGAAAAAAAAUACACACACCCUAUUGGUAUUGCUUGUAAUAACAGAAAAUCAGAACCACCCACCUCAGUCCCUCUCUGUGAGCGUGCUCUUUUGUUUUUACUAGAAUAAUUCCAAUGAAUUCUAUUUUUAUACCAUCAGAGCUAAUUAAUUAACUUGUUGAUAAAUCUAGAACUUGUCAGGAGCCUCAGCAUAGUAUCUUUACUUAUCAAUUGGUGUACUUGUUUAUUUAUUCAUUAACGUAAUUCUCUCCUUAUUUUUCUCCGUGAAAGCUCCUGGCUUGACUUGUUCCUUCAUGAGUUAGUGUGUUUGCUUAGAACUGGUAAUGCACACACAAGGCACGUGAUCUAAAAGCUGUGGAAGGCUGUACAGGGGAAACAGGCCAGCUUCUCUCCUCCCUCUCCCCCUCACCUAGGAGAGGAAACUGCUUUUUACCAGAUGAGAAUCUGUGUCCCUUUCCAGGAUGACCCAUAUGUUCACGAUCUUGUGUGUGCGACACAAAUGGCAAUAGACUAUACAUACGUUGCCCCACUGCUUCUCAGCGGGGGUCACCUUGUCUCCAAGUGACAUCGGACAGUGUCUGCAGACAUUUCCGGUUGUCCCAACUGGACCUACUGUUGGCAUCUGACGGGAAGAGACCAGGGAUGCUCCUCACCACCCUAGGAGGCACAGGAUGGCCCCACAACAAAGAAUGAUCCGCCCCUACGAGUCCAUAAUGCUGAGAUUAAGAAUAUCUUGAUCUUAUUAUUAUAAUUUUUACUUUUAAGCUACUUUGACUAUUGUUCCUCAAGCAAUGUAGCCACAGAUUUCCUUAGAAUGUAGAGAGAAGAAGGUUUCAAAGUUGCUGAAGAACAGGAGGUCGAUUUUGGUUUUGGACCCCCAGCUCCUGGCAGAGAGCGUGGUUGUCAGUGAGUAUGCUUUGAAUGCAUAGAUGAUUAAUUAACGAUGAGUCGGAGACGUUUAAAAUAAAGUAAUAAAAUGUACCGUAAGCUAUUCUUCCUUCAAACCUGAAAUUUCCAAUCAUCCUCAGCGUUGAUUAGAUUUUAACUGAAGUGCCACAAAGGAGGCGCAGCUUGGAAAUUCUUUGGACCCAAGGAAAACAACGUGGGUUCUGAAGGAAAUUUCCUCCUUUGGAAACCAAUGUUGGAGAAAUUAACUGCCUAAAAGAAGCCCCAGGUCCUUCACCUGUCCUCAUCUACAAAGAUAAGUUAUAAGUUAUUAAAAUAAACAGAAAGCUUGCCUGGCUUUUUAAACGAUGAGGCCAGCCAGCCUCCAUAACUGGCGUUAGAACCCACAUCACUGAGCGGGAUAGAAGGUGUUUCAACUCCAUCAAAAGCCUUGAAAAGGAGGACGUCCUUUGUAUUGGCUUUCAGGAAGUUUUUCUGGACUGCUAUUUAUUUUAAAUCAGCACCCCCUACAAAGCAAGCCCCCUUUAGGAAACGCAGUGCAGACAGCAACCCUAGAGAUGGGCUCUAUGAUUCCACACUGGACCGAGAUAUUAUUUUUAUAGAAAAAAUGGAUCUCUUUAAUCAGCUUUAAAAAAAAAAUUGUGAACAGUCACUUCUCUUAUUUAAAAGUUUAACUUUACUUUCAUCAAUUUAUAAUCAGAGUUCCUCUGGUAUGUUUGAUUCCUGACAAACAAGGAUAAAAGUCUUGUGCCCCCAUUGCUAAUGAGAUGAUAAAACAGCAGGGAUCAAGUUUUUAAUUACUGCAGGCGAUGCACUGGAGAGGUACCGAUGAUAUUUUCUAUUGCAUGUCUAAGUUGUAACUUCAGGCUUAUGACAGUCCUGCUGAGCUCCACUGCCUUUGAUGAUCACUCAUUUUUGUCUCCUGAGAACAUACAAAAAUUUCUGAGCUAGAAUCCUGGGGGGCUGGCAAUUAUUGGCGUAACCUGGUACAGGUACCCCUCUCCAACCAUCACGCUCAGUGAGGAUCCAGCUUCUUAAUGCCUGCCAUUAUCCCGAAAGGGAAAUUGGACAUUCAAAAUAUCUGUGAACUUUCCUACUCAAAUGAUACCCAUUCUCAGUCUCCCAGCAUGCGCCUUCCAUUAAUAAGAAAAUGCUUAAUUGAAUUGGGAGAUUUCUAGUAUAUACUUUUUCAUUUCUUUUCAAAGUCGUGCUUGAAAUUUUUUCAAAAACCUUAUUUUUAUACACUUUUGUAGAUGUGCAUUAUACUUCUCACUCUCAGCUGUUUAAACAUAUUUCUAACAAUAUUCUCUUUGUUACUGCAGACAGUUGAUAAUCGAAAUUUUUAAAGGUGCCAUUUCGGGUCAAGUGUGUGAAAUGUAAAGGUCAGACAUUCUUACCCUUAUUGAAAUGGAAGCUGGGAGCGGAUUCCAUUAAUUCUCAUGUUCGCAAGACACACACCCACACACACACACACACACACACACACACUGGAUGGCCAGAGCACUCAACAAAUAAGGCUUGCUCAAAAACCUGUGUUUAGCCAUAGAAACUAGAGCACAGAAUUAACCUGACUUGUGGAUGAUCACCAACCCAAUCUGAAUCCAACUAACCAGUUAUCAAUCAACUACCCAACUCAUCAAAUAACUAGCCAGCUUAUCAACCAAUUACCCAACUCGUUAAACAACUAAUUUUUGAUCAGUCAAGUAACUUCUAAGUUAUGAAGUAAGAAUUGAGUGUCAGAAUCACAAGCAUUGGCUGAGUCUACCAAGUGGUUUAAAUUUCUAAGAUUUUCGAUCAUAAACAUAAAAAUGCAUCCUCAGCUACUACAUUGGGGAAAGCCCAUGGAUGAAAAGAGAUUCGCUGAUCAAAAGGUAAAUGGACCUUUCUUGUCCACCCAUCCCUCAGAAUCUGAAUUUACAAUGCCCUUUAGGGAUUUCUAAUUUAUCAAUAUGACUUUUAUGGCCUUUAAAAAUAUCACACAUGUGAAAUGUGAAGACCGAUAUUUGUAGCUUAGUUUCUUCUUGGCAAAGGGGAGCAAAAAAUGUUUCAACUGUGUAAUUUAUAUAUAAUUCAGAAAACACAUUGCUUGUAUUAAUCAGGAUAGACCAAUUGCUGUAACAAACAGUGCACAACCUCAGCGGCCAAACACAGUAGAUGUUUAUUUCUUGUUCAUGGGAGUCCCUGUGGACGGGCCUGGUCGGGCAGUGCUCCCGGGCGGCUGUCCGUGGGGUCAGCUCCUCACAUCCAGUAGUGCUCCUAUCUUUUCCGACCACAGAGCGCGCCACUGGGCUCUCCACGUCUGGCCAGCAAAAGGGGAAAAGCCAGUUUGAAGACCUCCUGGGGCUUCAGGGUCCGUGGCCAGAAGAGCUGCUCUAGAGUGCCCACCUUCCAUUGGCCAGAAGGGGUCCAAGGCGUCACACAGACGCAAACGAGCCCAGGAAGAAAAUGAAUUGGUUUGGUAAACAAUUUUUGUGAAAAGUGCUGGUGGCAACCCACGAAAUGAACUUCCUGCCUCGCUGUGCGUCACAGGUGCAGCCGACGUGCGGAGGCUCACAGUCCAGGCCGCGCUCCCGGACGAGGGAGCGUUGAGUGACUUACAUCAAAGACAGGUCGGUGAAACCAGAUGCCAGCGUUCUUCCUCCAGCAGACCCGUGAGCAGGCAGGACCCACCUCACCGCCAGCCUGCACACAGCGCUCAGCAGAGCGCCCGGGCCUGGCCCCUGCAGGCCAUCCGUGCACCAGUGAGCCCUGCCUCUCCAGGGCCAGGGACUGCUAGGCCACGGCAGAACCCCGUGGCAGCUCACAGGGAGUAACCGUAACAUGGCCCCUUCCUGCAGGCCUCGGCUCUGGGCACCCUGCAAUUCCAGGUCACUGCGCCAGAGAGGAUGAGCACCCAGGCUGAGCUCACUACCUCCCUCCCUCCCUAAUGCCGACAGACCCUGAGACCUCAUUCAGUCCAGCCGUUACCACAGGGUCCGGCACAGAGAAAACAUCCAAGAAAUACCGUCAUCCAAGAGUCGCAUACCUGCUGGGUGUUACACGCUGCAUUAGGAACAACGGCAGCUCCGAACGAACAGAAAGCAGCAACGGACGACCUCGGGGAAACUGACCGUCUGUGGAGUUAGACAGGAGAGGCUCCCAAGCCACCUUUGAUUCCUUCCUGGACCACAGCCGUGGCCUCCCCUCCUGCCUGGGCUCCCGGCCUCCAGCUUUGCCCCCACACUCACUAUCUUCUCAGUGCAGCAGCCUUCGAUGUUCUCGCUCUCACUCAGUCAAUGCCAAAAUCCCUACCCAGCCACAAGGCCCUGCCGGGUCUCCCCUCAGAUGGGAGCACUACAGGCCCCUGCUCUCCCCACUCAACCCCGAGGCCUCCUUGCUGGUUCCAAACUCACUUCAGCCUGGAGGUCUUCGCACUUGCUUUUC
Equus caballus (horse) is the source of this 6427-nucleotide non-coding RNA. The record is from RefSeq and is a predicted model, not a curated record. NCBI's taxonomy places the organism in Eukaryota, Metazoa, Chordata, Mammalia, Perissodactyla, Equidae.